This 336-nucleotide unclassified non-coding RNA is filed under the name soil metagenome. Its description in RNAcentral is "partial contains 5.8S ribosomal RNA, internal transcribed spacer 2, and large subunit ribosomal RNA". The stretch from base 1 to 120 matches the Rfam family "5.8S ribosomal RNA", at positions 35 to 154 of the family's 154-position model. The record is from RNAcentral.
GAUGAAGAACGCAGCGAAAUGCGAUAAGUAAUGUGAAUUGCAGAAUUCCGUGAAUCAUCGAAUCUUUGAACGCACAUUGCGCCCCCUGGUAUUCCGGGGGGCAUGCCUGUCCGAGCGUCAUUGCAACCUUCAAGCGCGGCUUGUGUGUUGGGUCUCGUCCCCCGUGGACGGGCCCGAAAGGCAGUGGCGGCGUCCCGACAUGGUGCCCGAGCGUAUGGGAAUCCUCUUCCGCUCGAAUCGGCCCAUGCGGCGCUGGUCGUAACCAAAUUUUUUACCGGUUGACCUCGGAUCAGGCAGGGAUACCCGCUGAACUUAAGCAUAUCAAUAAGCGGAGGA